Molecule: ribosomal RNA, 450 nt
Filed under: uncultured bacterium
Lineage: Bacteria
Description: bacterial SSU rRNA
Rfam family: Bacterial small subunit ribosomal RNA
Source: RNAcentral
GUGGGGAAUUUUGGACAAUGGGCGAAAGCCUGAUCCAGCCAUUCCGCGUGAGUGAAGAAGGCCUUCGGGUUGUAAAGCUCUUUCGCAAGGAAAGAAAACUUAUCUCCUAAUACGGGGUGAGGAUGACGGUACCUUGAUAAGAAGCACCGGCUAACUACGUGCCAGCAGCCGCGGUAAUACGUAGGGUGCGAGCGUUAAUCGGAAUUACUGGGCGUAAAGCGUGCGCAGGCUGUUUUGUAAGUCAGAUGUGAAAUCCCUGGGCUCAACCUAGGAACUGCGUUUGAAACUACAAGGCUAGAGUGUAGCAGAGGGGGGUAGAAUUCCACGUGUAGCAGUGAAAUGCGUAGAGAUGUGGAGGAAUACCAAUGGCGAAGGCAGCCCCCUGGGUUAACACUGACGCUCAUGCACGAAAGCGUGGGGAGCAAACAGGAUUAGAAACCCGUGUAGUCC